UCUGUCUCACUUUCUCUUUUCCUUUCCACUCUUCUUCUCACACAGGUGUGCAGUCAUCUCUCACAUUCCUCAGGGUCACACAUUUUACUUUUCAUGUUUCGCUAUGGAGGGACGCUACGUCACCCUACGUCUCCCUGGAAGCAAGAAGAUUCUAACUCUCUGUGAAGUUGAGGUGCUCUCCAUAGAAUAUGUGCCAGAAGUUGCUCCUCCUCCUCCUCCUCCCUCUGUGAGCGCACUGCUGAAUGGCAGGAAUGUGACGUUGGUGGGAAAGAGGCUCUGCUGGUCUGAAUGCCCUGCUACCACUGGGACCUGCUUAGUCUUCACAGCCAGGAGGAGCAGAGCGAGGUGGAGCAGCUGUUAGGCCGCAGCCCUGUCCCCCUCACAGGCUAUAUCUGGCUGGGAUUGCGCAGAUCUACUCUGCAGAUAUAUCAUGGGCGACACAUCGUUCUGGAUGUCCAGAGAGUCUGUGAAAUUCACCCACCGGCUGCGAGAUUCUGGACCAUACCUUUUCUCAAGCCCCUGUGGAGGUAUGGCCAGCAAAGAGCACUUCCUCUGGGAUAGCCAGCCUUGCAAUGAGCUCCUCAACUUCAAUCCAAUCAGGUUGUGCUACACCUCACACGUAAGACACAUGUGCACAUUUGGUACAUCACCUCUAUUUUUCACCAGCUCCUUCUGCCCCUUUUUGCCCCUUUGCUGUCAGUGGC
Molecule: long non-coding RNA, 704 nt
Organism: Lates calcarifer (barramundi perch)
Lineage: Eukaryota; Metazoa; Chordata; Actinopteri; Centropomidae
Exons: 3
Source: RefSeq, a predicted model, not a curated record